This is a long non-coding RNA of Cercocebus atys (sooty mangabey), 1375 nucleotides long. RefSeq lists it as uncharacterized. The transcript is spliced from 3 exons. Lineage: Eukaryota; Metazoa; Chordata; Mammalia; Primates; Cercopithecidae. The record is from RefSeq and is a predicted model, not a curated record.
AGAAGAAAAAAAAAAAGUGUAGGUCAGAUCAGGACCUUUCCUCCACUCACUUCAUUCGUGGAUGUACUAUGACCACACAAUACGCUCCCCUGUUACCUCCCUGACCUCAGCUCCUCCACUGGCCCCUUCAUUCUGCUCCAAGCAUACUGGUUUCGCUCCUUGUUCCUUCAACACAAGCAUAGACCUACCUGCCUCAGAGCCUUUGCGUUUACUGCUUCUGCCGCCUGAAAACUCUUCCCCAUACAUCCACUCUGUCGGCUCUAUCAGGGCUCUGCUCAAAUGUCACCUUUUCAGAAAGGCCUUCCCUGCCCUUCCCAGGUAAAGCAGGCUGCUAUCUCCUGUCUACGCUCCACCCCCUUCCCCUGCUUUAUAUUUCUUCAGAGCAAAUAUGGCCACGGACUAGUGUAUUUGAAUGUUACCUGAUCUACCAGAAUGCAAUCUCCACGAAGGAGCAACUUUUUGGCACUCCCAUUUUGCAGAAGAGGAAACAGGCUGCCUGGGUCUGCUGAUUCCUGCCCUUGUGAGCUCACUGCCCCAUACUCCCAUGCUUGUACACAAAUGGAGGUGCUGUUACAGAAGAAGUUCUGAGCCUGAUUCUGCUGCUGCCUCUCCAGCUAACCUUAGGUACAACUCUCCUCCUCCCAAGGCCUCAGGGUCAGCUAAAGUCAAUGGAGUUCACACCCCAAGCAAGAGAAGAGCUUGCCCUAGCCUUCAUCCAGCCUCAUGUGUUGCAAUUUGGCUAGAAAUUGUUCAGGAGAAUCUUAAUUAGCAUUCACCUGUGGUGUUGUGAAAAAAGAAAAAACAAAAAAAAAACACCUCACUUCAGGUUCCAAAGUCUGAGUUGGAGUAAAAAGACUCUUGGAAUCCAGGAUCCAACAUACAACUGCUAAGCCUGUUUCUUCAUCUGUAAAAUGAGAAUGACAAUGUCUACCUCAUAGGAUUGGUUUGACGGUAGAGCGUGUUAAAGAACUCUUAAGGAUCUUUUGUCAGACCCAGCUUGACCACAAGAUUGAGCUGAAUCUGAAUAAACAUUCUAGAACACUGCCAGAAAAGCUACAUUUACUAUCUUAUCUGACCUAUGUAAUUUGCAGAGUUCUUUUUACAUGGGUUACUUCCAAAAUCAAAAUUAACAUUAUCACUGAUGCUCAGUUAAAACAGCGUAGUAACUUCUGAUUAUUUCUCUCAUGAAACUACCUAUUUAGUUUUAUACAGUCAUGUACCACAUAACGAUGUAUGAACUGCACAUACAACGGUGGUUCCGUAAGAUGAUAAUAGAGCUGAAAAUUUGCUAGCGCCUAGUGACAUUGUAGUGCAAUGCAUUACUCACAUGUUUGCAGUGAUGCUGGUAUAAAGAAACCUACUACAUUACCAGUCA